This 157-nucleotide non-coding RNA is filed under the name Alphaproteobacteria bacterium. RNAcentral's name for it is "6S RNA". It matches the Rfam family "6S / SsrS RNA". From Rfam's summary of the family: E. coli 6S RNA was the first non coding RNA to be sequenced, but its function was unknown until recently. It consists of 184 nucleotides that fold into an extended hairpin structure with a large single-stranded internal bulge. Lineage: Bacteria; Pseudomonadati; Pseudomonadota; Alphaproteobacteria. The record is from RNAcentral.
GUGGGGCUGGGCGGUGCGUUAGGCCGCAUGUUACCCCGGGGCCGAUUCCUACCUCUUGGGGGCCGUCUCUGCCGGAGUCGUGGCUUCGGCACAUGGUCGCCCACCUGCUACGGCGGGCCACGGAGGGUUGCACGCCGACGGCCGAGCCGGCUCCACU